Molecule: ribosomal RNA, 468 nt
Filed under: uncultured bacterium
Lineage: Bacteria
Description: partial 16S ribosomal RNA
Rfam family: Bacterial small subunit ribosomal RNA
Source: RNAcentral
GACGAACGCUGGCGGCGUGCUUAACACAUGCAAGUCGAACGGAAAGGCCCUGCUUUUGUGGGGUGCUCGAGUGGCGAACGGGUGAGUAACACGUGAGUAACCUGCCCUUGACUUUGGGAUAACUUCAGGAAACUGGGGCUACUACCGGAUAGGAGCUCCUGCUGCAUGGUGGGGGUUGGAAAGUUUCGGCGGUUGGGGAUGGACUCGCGGCUUAUCAGCUUGUUGGUGGGGUAGUGGCUUACCAAGGCUUUGACGGGUAGCCGGCCUGAGAGGGUGACCGGCCAAAUUGGGAGUGAGAUACGGCCCAGACUCCUGAGGGAGGCAGCAGUGGGGAAUAUUGCACGAUGGGCGGAAGCCGGAUGCAGCAAGGCCGCGUGCGGGAUGAUGGCCUUCGGUUGGUAAACCAUUUUCGUCUGUGACGAAGCGUGAGUGACGGUAAUGGGUAAAGAAGCACCGGCUAACUACGUG